RNAcentral lists this non-coding RNA (92 nucleotides) under Chrysemys picta bellii (western painted turtle). The record is from RNAcentral. Lineage: Eukaryota; Metazoa; Chordata; Testudines; Emydidae. RNAcentral also lists the same sequence under 1 other name.
GCAUUGCCCUGCAUCUUGUGUAGUUCUUUAGCAUUUUCUACCCAUUUUGCACAGAUGUAAAUAACUACACAAGGUGCAGGGCAGUGGAAGUG